CUACAGGCUUAACACAUGCAAGUCGAGGGGCAGCAUGGUCUUAGCUUGCUAAGGCCGAUGGCGACCGGCGCACGGGUGAGUAACACGUAUCCAACCUGCCGUCUACUCUUGGACAGCCUUCUGAAAGGAAGAUUAAUACAAGAUGGCAUCAUGAGUCCGCAUGUUCACAUGAUUAAAGGUAUUCCGGUAGACGAUGGGGAUGCGUUCCAUUAGAUAGUAGGCGGGGUAACGGCCCACCUAGUCUUCGAUGGAUAGGGGUUCUGAGAGGAAGGUCCCCCACAUUGGAACUGAGACACGGUCCAAACUCCUACGGGAGGCAGCAGUGAGGAAUAUUGGUCAAUGGGCGAGAGCCUGAACCAGCCAAGUAGCGUGAAGGAUGACUGCCCUAUGGGUUGUAAACUUCUUUUAUAAAGGAAUAAAGUCGGGUAUGGAUACCCGUUUGCAUGUACUUUAUGAAUAAGGAUCGGCUAACUCCGUGCCAGCAGCCGCGGUAAUACGGAGGAUCCGAGCGUUAUCCGGAUUUAUUGGGUUUAAAGGGAGCGUAGAUGGAUGUUUAAGUCAGUUGUGAAAGUUUGCGGCUCAACCGUAAAAUUGCAGUUGAUACUGGAUAUCUUGAGUGCAGUUGAGGCAGGCGGAAUUCGUGGUGUAGCGGUGAAAUGCUUAGAUAUCACGAAGAACUCCGAUUGCGAAGGCAGCCUGCUAAGCUGCAACUGACAUUGAGGCUCGAAAGUGUGGGUAUCAAACAGGAUUAGAUACCCUGGUAGUCCACACGGUAAACGAUGAAUACUCGCUGUUUGCGAUAUACUGCAAGCGGCCAAGCGAAAGCGUUAGGUAUUCCACCUGGGGAGUACGCCGGCAACGGUGAAACUCAAAGGAAUUGACGGGGGCCCGCACAAGCGGAGGAACAUGUGGUUUAAUUCGAUGAUACGCGAGGAACCUUACCCGGGCUUAAAUUGCAGAUGAAUUACGGUGAAAGCCGUAAGCCGCAAGGCAUCUGUGAAGGUGCUGCAUGGUUGUCGUCAGCUCGUGCCGUGAGGUGUCGGCUUAAGUGCCAUAACGAGCGCAACCCUUGUUGUCAGUUACUAACAGGUUCCGCUGAGGACUCUGACAAGACUGCCAUCGUAAGAUGUGAGGAAGGUGGGGAUGACGUCAAAUCAGCACGGCCCUUACGUCCGGGGCUACACACGUGUUACAAUGGGGGGUACAGAGGGCCGCUACCACGCGAGUGGAUGCCAAUCCCCAAAACCUCUCUCAGUUCGGACUGGAGUCUGCAACCCGACUCCACGAAGCUGGAUUCGCUAGUAAUCGCGCAUCAGCCACGGCGCGGUGAAUACGUUCCCGGGCCUUGUACACACCGCCCGUCAAGCCAUGGGAGCCGGGGGUACCUGAAGUGCGUAACCGCGAGGAGCGCCCUAGGGUAAAACUGGUGACUGGGGCUAAGUCAU
RNAcentral lists this ribosomal RNA (1445 nucleotides) under uncultured organism. RNAcentral describes it as "SSU rRNA". It matches the Rfam family "Bacterial small subunit ribosomal RNA". The record is from RNAcentral.